AACCCAUAGUGAUGGCACUUUCUCCAUAAGUCCUUAUACCUCUCCCAUGCAUCAUAUAGGGUUUCUAAGUAAUUUGAACUAAGGAAGAGAUAUCAUUCCUCAACUU
Small nucleolar RNA from Gossypium arboreum, 106 nucleotides. It matches the Rfam family "Plant small nucleolar RNA R71". Rfam says of the family: R71 is a member of the C/D box family of snoRNAs containing the C (UGAUGA) and D (CUGA) box motifs. Multiple nearly identical copies of this snoRNA have been identified in Arabidopsis, and it is thought to function as a 2'-O-ribose methylation guide for 18S ribosomal RNA. The record is from Rfam. Lineage: Eukaryota; Viridiplantae; Streptophyta; Magnoliopsida; Malvales; Malvaceae.